UCACAUCUAUAAGUAUCGACUUGUGGAUGGAGCUAUGCAACUCGAGGCCACCAACUUAUACACAGCUUCUAAGCUCUGUUUUAGGGUGCAAAACUCAUAAUAAUGGCAUCAUUCAAGGCUGAGAAGCCUGCCGCUGGCUCUCAAACCACCAUUCCCGUCAAGAAAGAGCCUGCCAAAUGUACCAGUUGUGCACCCAAGGCUCCGGCCACCCAACCCGCCCCUAAAAAGGCCGAGCAGAAGCCCCAGGAGCCUAAGAAGAAGUUAACAGGAAGCAAGCCAGCAACAAAGUGAGGAGAAAAUGAGAAGAAUCCAUGAAUUAAUUUCUUAAUUCAUGGUGAUUCAUAUUUGUAUCGAUGGAUAUGAUCCAUAUUAAUGUGCAACUUAAUGCUUUCUGCUUAUUAUAUACAUGUGUCUCUUUUUAGGGUUCACCUAAUAUAUAAUUAAAUAAAACACAUGUUUUAACUAA
Long non-coding RNA from Hevea brasiliensis (rubber tree), 466 nucleotides. RefSeq lists it as uncharacterized. The record is from RefSeq and is a predicted model, not a curated record. The transcript is spliced from 2 exons. NCBI's taxonomy places the organism in Eukaryota, Viridiplantae, Streptophyta, Magnoliopsida, Malpighiales, Euphorbiaceae.